This 253-nucleotide ribosomal RNA is filed under the name uncultured bacterium. RNAcentral describes it as "partial 16S ribosomal RNA". It matches the Rfam family "Bacterial small subunit ribosomal RNA", at positions 524 to 776 of the family's 1533-position model. The record is from RNAcentral.
UACGUAGGGUGCGAGCGUUAAUCGGAAUUACUGGGCGUAAAGCGUGCGCAGGCGGUUUUGUAAGACAGAUGUGAAAUCCCCGGGCUCAACCUGGGAACUGCAUCUGUGACUGCAUUGCUGGAGUGCGGCAGAGGGGGAUGGAAUUCCGCGUGUAGCAGUGAAAUGCGUAGAUAUGCGGAGGAACACCGAUGGCGAAGGCAAUCCCCUGGGCCUGCACUGACGCUCAUGCACGAAAGCGUGGGGAGCAAACAGG